This 1203-nucleotide ribosomal RNA is filed under the name metagenome. Its description in RNAcentral is "bacterial SSU rRNA". It matches the Rfam family "Bacterial small subunit ribosomal RNA", at positions 8 to 1186 of the family's 1533-position model. The record is from RNAcentral.
AGAGUUUGAUCCUGGCUCAGAACGAACGCUGGCGGCAGGCCUAACACAUGCAAGUCAAGCGAGAACGGUAGCUUCGGCUACUUAUUAGAGCGGCGAACGGGUGAGUAACACGUGAGUAACCUGCCCCGUAGUCUGGGAUAACAGUUCGAAAGGACUGCUAAUACCUGAUAAGCCCCCGCGACUGCGGUCGAGUGGGGAAAAGGGGGGGAUCCUUCGGGACCUCUCGCUAUGGGAUGGGCUCGCGGCCCAUUAGGUAGUUGGUGGGGUAAAGGCCCACCAAGCCUGCGAUGGGUAGCUGGUUUGAGAGAGCGAUCAGCCACACUGGAACUGAGACACGGUCCAGACUCCUACGGGAGGCAGCAGUGGGGAAUCUUGCGCAAUGGGCGAAAGCCUGACGCAGCCAUGCCGCGUGGGUGACGAAGGCCUUCGGGUUGUAAAGCCCUGUUGAGGGGGGCGAAAGUGUUGGUGGCCAAUACCCACCGGCCCUGACGGUACCCCUUUAGCAAGCACCGGCUAACUCCGUGCCAGCAGCCGCGGCAAUACGGAGGGUGCGAGCGUUGUUCGGAAUUACUGGGCGUAAAGCGCGUGUAGGCGGUAGUGUAAGUCGGGUGUGAAAGCCCUGGGCUCAACCGAGGAAUUGCGCUCGAAACUACACUGCUGGAGUACGGGAGAGGGAUGUGGAAUUCCUGGUGUAGAGGUGAAAUUCGUAGAUAUCAGGAGGAACACCCGUGGCGAAGGCGACAUCCUGGACCGAUACUGACGCUGAGACGCGAAAGCGUGGGGAGCAAACAGGAUUAGAUACCCUGGUAGUCCACGCCGUAAACGAUGGGCACUAGGUGCAGCGGGUAUGACCCCUGCUGUGCCGCAGUUAACGCAUUAAGUGCCCCGCCUGGGGAGUACGGCCGCAAGGCUAAAACUCAAAGGGAUUGACGGGGGCCCGCACAAGCGGUGGAGCAUGUGGUUUAAUUCGAAGCAACGCGAAGAACCUUACCUGGGCUUGACAUCCCUCGAAUCUGUCAGAGAUGACGGAGUGCCCUUCGGGGAGCGGGGUGACAGGUGCUGCAUGGCUGUCGUCAGCUCGUGUCGUGAGAUGUUGGGUUAAGUCCCGCAACGAGCGCAACCCUCGUCCUUAGUUGCCAUCAUUAAGUUGGGCACUUUAAGGAGACUGCCGGUGUCAAACCGGAGGAAGGUGGGGAUGACGUC